Molecule: small nucleolar RNA, 94 nt
Organism: Beta vulgaris subsp. vulgaris (sugar beet)
Lineage: Eukaryota; Viridiplantae; Streptophyta; Magnoliopsida; Caryophyllales; Amaranthaceae
Source: Rfam
GUUUGGCAAUGAGGAUUGUUAAUCGCAGCUUUAAAUGCCAGUUCUGCUUCAGAAAAUUCUUGAUUGACAAAGCUGUUUUAUAUCUGAGCUGAAA